Molecule: ribosomal RNA, 723 nt
Filed under: uncultured Bacteroidota bacterium
Lineage: Bacteria; Pseudomonadati; Bacteroidota
Description: bacterial SSU rRNA
Rfam family: Bacterial small subunit ribosomal RNA
Source: RNAcentral
AGAUAUGACACAGAACACCGAUCGCGAAGGCAGCUCACUAAGUUGUAACUGACGCUCAGGCACGAAAGCGUGGGGAUCAAACAGGAUUAGAUACCCUGGUAGUCCACGCUGUAAACGAUGAUCACUCGAUGUUGGCGAUAUACUGUCAGCGUCUAAGCGAAAGCAUUAAGUGAUCCACCUGGGGAGUACGAUCGCAAGAUUGAAACUCAAAGGAAUUGACGGGGGCCCGCACAAGCGGAGGAGCAUGUGGUUUAAUUCGAUGAUACGCGAGGAACCUUACCUGGGCUAGGACGCUGGGCGACCGUCCGGGAAACCGGAUUUCUCUUCGGAGCGGCCAGCGAGGUGCUGCAUGGUUGUCGUCAGCUCGUGCCGUGAGGUGUCGGGUUAAGUCCCAUAACGAGCGCAACCCCUAUCAUUAGUUGCCAUCAGGUCAUGCUGGGAACUCUAGUGAAACUGCCUACGCAAGUAGUGAGGAAGGUGGGGAUGACGUCAAAUCAGCACGGCCCUUACGUCCAGGGCUACACGCGUGCUACAAUGGCCGGUACAAAGGGCAGCUACCUGGUGACAGGAUGCUAAUCUCAAAAACCGGUCUCAGUUCGGAUCGAAGUCUGCAACUCGACUUCGUGAAGUUGGAUUCGCUAGUAAUCGUAUAUCAGCAAUGAUACGGUGUAUACGUUCCCGGGCCUUGUACACACCGCCCGUCAACCAUGGGAGUUGGGGGUA